CAAUAGCGUAUAUUAAAGUUGUUGCGGUUAAAAAGCUCGUAGUUGGAUUUCUGCUGAGAACGACCGGUCCGCCCUCUGGGUGUGUAUCUGGCUCUUUCUUGGCAUCUUCUUGGUGAACGUUGCUGCACUUGACUGUGUGGAGCGCUACCCAGGACUUUUACUUUGAGGAAAUUAGAGUGUUUCAAGCAGGCAUACGCCUUGAAUACAUUAGCAUGGAAUAAUAAGAUAGGACCUCGGUUCUAUUUUGUUGGUUUCUAGAGCUGAGGUAAUGAUUAAUAGGGAUAGUUGGGGGCAUUCGUAUUUAACUGUCAGAGGCGAAAUUCUUGGAUUUGCUAAAGACGGACUACUGCGAAAGCAUUUGCCAAGGAUGUUUUCAUUGA
RNAcentral lists this ribosomal RNA (380 nucleotides) under uncultured eukaryote. RNAcentral describes it as "partial 18S ribosomal RNA". It matches the Rfam family "Eukaryotic small subunit ribosomal RNA", at positions 592 to 976 of the family's 1831-position model. The record is from RNAcentral.